This is a long non-coding RNA of Gasterosteus aculeatus aculeatus (three-spined stickleback), 460 nucleotides long. The record is from Ensembl. NCBI's taxonomy places the organism in Eukaryota, Metazoa, Chordata, Actinopteri, Perciformes, Gasterosteidae.
GGUGAAUAGAAUCCCUUUCAGUGGUGACGGAUAUCAAUCGUGGUUCUUAGGAACGUUGGGAAUGUGCUCGGUGGAAAGUGGGUCAUGAAUUGAAGUGAGACCACCACAAAGGAACAUCAGCAGAGCUGGAAACAAUUGAGCCUGACUGACAGACGUAUUCCAGCAUGAGGAGGAACCAAGGAGGGGAGAUGAUGACAGAAAGCAGCACGGACAUCUUCAGCUGCAGGGGACAAAAACCCAGAUGAGCAUUCGGAUUUCUACAUUUAAAAAAAUGCACACGGAUAUCCAGCUCCAUGUCUGCUUCUUUCCUUCCUUGUGCUUCUCUUUAGAGGCCUCCUGUUUGUUUAGUAUGCUGGUAAAGAUUUCAGAAUAAAUAUCUUUUUCUUCUGUUCAUCUGUUGGACUUCUUUGUCCGAACUGACCUUCACACAUUUGAGAACCAUAAUGCUCGGAUGCACGGC